RNAcentral lists this ribosomal RNA (736 nucleotides) under uncultured archaeon. Its description in RNAcentral is "bacterial SSU rRNA". It matches the Rfam family "Archaeal small subunit ribosomal RNA", at positions 53 to 791 of the family's 1478-position model. The record is from RNAcentral.
GCUAGUCGUACGUGUUUAGACUCGUGGCGCAUAGCUCCGUAACACGUGGCCAAACUACCCUUCGGAGGAGCACAACCUCGGGAAACUGAGGCUAAUUCUCCAUACGACACUCCCCCUGGAAUGGAGAGUGUCCGAAACGCUCCGGCGCCGAAGGAUGUGGCUGCGGCCGAUUAGGUAGACGGUGGGGUAACGGCCCACCGUGCCGAUAAUCGGUACGGGUUGUGAGAGCAAGAGCCCGGAGACGGAACCUGAGACAAGAUUCCGGGCCCUACGGGGCGCAGCAGGCGCGAAACCUUUACACUGCACGUCAGUGCGAUAAGGGGAUCCCGAGUGCGCAGGCAUAGAGCCUGCGCUUUUCUGAACUGUAGGAGGUUCAGGAACAAGAGCUGGGCAAGACCGGUGCCAGCCGCCGCGGUAAUACCGGCAGCACGAGUGAUGACCGAUAUUAUUGGACCUAAAGCGUCCGUAGCUGGCCAAGCAAGUCCAUUGGGGAAUCCACGUGCUCAACGCGUGGGCGUCCGGUGGAAACUGUUUGGCGUGGGGCCAGAAGACCUGAGGGAUACGUCCGGGGUAGGAGUGGAAUCCUGUAAUCCUGGACGGACCACCAAUGGGGAAACCACCUCAGGAGGAUGGACCCGACAGUGAGGGACGAAAGCUAGGGUCUCGAACCGGAUUAGAUACCCGGGUAGUCCUAGCUGUAAACGAUGCUCGCUAGGUGUGCCGUAGGCUACGAGCC